Molecule: ribosomal RNA, 491 nt
Filed under: uncultured bacterium
Lineage: Bacteria
Description: partial 16S ribosomal RNA
Rfam family: Bacterial small subunit ribosomal RNA
Source: RNAcentral
AGUGAACGCUGGCGGUAGGCCUAACACAUGCAAGUCGAACGGCAGCACAGUAAGAGCUUGCUCUUACGGGUGGCGAGUGGCGGACGGGUGAGGAAUACAUCGGAAUCUACUUUUUCGUGGGGGAUAACGUAGGGAAACUUACGCUAAUACCGCAUACGACCUACGGGUGAAAGCAGGGGAUCUUCGGACCUUGCGCGAUUGAAUGAGCCGAUGUCGGAUUAGCUAGUUGGCGGGGUAAAGGCCCACCAAGGCGACGAUCCGUAGCUGGUCUGAGAGGAUGAUCGGCCACAUGGGAACUGAGACACGGUCCAGACUCCUACGGGAGGCAGCAGUGGGGAAUAUUGGACAAUGGGCGAAAGCCUGAUCCAGCCAUACCGCGGGGGUGAAGAAGGCCUUCGGGUGGUAAAGCCCUUUUGUUGGGAAAGAAAGGCAGCAGGUUAAUACCCCGCUGUUCUGACGGUACCCAAAGAAUAAGCACCGGCUAAUUUCGU